This 536-nucleotide ribosomal RNA is filed under the name uncultured Aquifex sp. RNAcentral describes it as "bacterial SSU rRNA". It matches the Rfam family "Bacterial small subunit ribosomal RNA", at positions 30 to 530 of the family's 1533-position model. The record is from RNAcentral. Lineage: Bacteria; Pseudomonadati; Aquificota; Aquificia; Aquificales; Aquificaceae.
CGCGAACGCUGGCGGCGUGCCUAACACAUGCAAGUCGUGCGCAGGCUCGGCUCCUUUUGGAGCUGGGCGCUGAGCGGCAAACGGGUGAGUAACGCGUGGGUAACCUACCCCCAGGAGGGGGAUAACCCCGGGAAACCGGGGCUAAUACCCCAUAAAGCCGAGUGUCACUAAGACACUCGGCCAAAGGGGGCCUCUGGCCUUUGGCCAUGCUCUCGCCUGGGGAUGGGCCCGCGUCCCAUCAGGUAGUUGGUGGGGUAACGGCCCACCAAGCCUGUGACGGGUAGCCGGCCUGAGAGGGUGGCCGGCCACGGCGGGACUGAGACACGGCCCGCACCCCUACGGGGGGCAGCAGUGGGGAAUCGUGGGCAAUGGGCGAAAGCCUGACCCCGCGACGCCGCGUGGGGGAAGAAGCCCUGCGGGGUGUAAACCCCUGUCGGGGGGGACGAUGCGGACUUGGGUCAAUAGCCCAAGUUCGUGACGGUACCCCCAGAGGAAGGGACGGCUAACUACGUGCCAGCAGCCGCGGUAAUACGUAG